Molecule: long non-coding RNA, 3992 nt
Organism: Mesocricetus auratus (golden hamster)
Lineage: Eukaryota; Metazoa; Chordata; Mammalia; Rodentia; Cricetidae
Exons: 4
Source: RefSeq, a predicted model, not a curated record
UUCCUGCAGACACUGGACUCUGAGCCUGGCUCUCUCUAACUGUCCUACUGAUUUUAAGAUUCCUUGACUUCUCUCCAGAAACUCCAUAUUCUGCUUGGGUCACCAGAUUGGAUGUCCAUUGUUUCCAAGAACACUGGCCAUGGUGGAUUCUUCAGUGAAUGUUGUCAUUUGACUGGAAACACCCCUGAGCGGUUCAUGGUUUGAACCCUUGGCUCCCAUCUUGUGGUGCUGUCUUACAGACCCUUAGUAGGGCCUGAGGGAGGUGGUAGAUUAAUAGGGAGGGGCCUUUAAAGGCCGUCACCACAUCCUGGUUCUGCUAUAGCUCCCUCUGCUCACUGGUGAAGCACAGGACACAGGCUGAAUGCUCUGACUGCUAUGAGACGGAGCUUCUGGUCACACCUUCCUGGCUAUGGUGGCUUCAAAUUGCUUGGAAGCCAUAGGUCAAAUAAACUUUGCUUCCCCAACGAGCUCCUGUCAGGUGUAUGGUCACAGCAAUGCAAAAGCAGCUGGCACAGAGAAUGUGACACCAGGGCAGUAGGGCUGUUGCUGUGACUAAGUGUCAUAGUGCGGGUCUGCGGCCUUUGGAACUGACUUUUGGGAGGAGCUUGGAAGAGUGGGCAGAUGCAGUCUAGAGGGGCCCAGGCACCCUGGAGGCGGAGUCUGGCAGGUAACUGAUUGCACAGGGUGUUCAGAAGACCCGUGUCUGAUGGAAACACACAUGGGAAAGACUGAUGGAGAAGCUUCAGACGGAAACAGGGCUCGUUGGGGACCCAGGCUGACCUGUGCAAAACGUGUGAAUCUGGCUGGUACUGGCUCAGAGAGGGCAGAGGCGCAGAGACCCAGCAUCUUACUCCAUCCCUUGUCACUGAAGAAGGAGUGUCUACUGAAUGGCUCUCACCUUUCCCUCUGCACCUCCACACGAUACAGUCCCCAUGCUUUCAGAGCUGAGACCAGCGACACUACGGAACCGGAGACUGGGGUCUGGCAGUGAAAACAGUCUUGCAGUUACGUUGGAUCCUAGCUGCAUUAAACCUCUCGCUUACAGCAUGGCUAAUGCACUUCUCCCUCGCUCUGCUGUGCAGCACCUCGGCGGGCAGAAAACUUGGAUUUAUAAUCACCAAGGAGACAAGCUUCUGCCAUACCUAUGAGGGAUCUCCUGAUCAGGUUAAUCAAGGUGGUAAGACCCAUCCCUGACUUGGGUGGCAUCGUCCCCUAGGAUGAGGUCCUGGACUGCAUGAAAAGGAGAAAGAGCUGAGUGCCAGCAUUCUUCACCUUGUGCUUCGUGACUGUGGAUGCAAUGUGACCAGAUACUUCAUGUCCUUGUCAUCAUGGUGAACUGUUCCCUCAAACUGUGAGCCAACACAAAUUACUCCUUAAGUAGCCUUUGUCAGGUGUUUGGUUACACCUAGACAGCUAGAACAUCCGAUCUCCCUCAGAUACAGACAGGCUUCUUAACUCUUGGAGUGGGUAGAGGGGGACCCACACAUUUGUACUGGCAGCAUCCGGACAAUUUCCCCUUGAAGCGCCUCUCCUUUCAUAGAAGCGCCAAUGGAUUCACUGAAGCCCCUCACACCUGCCACCUGUGAGUCCUUCCUCACUUCUGAGUACCCUAUUCCUGGCCGCCAGUGUGUGUCCACGCCUGCCACCCGUGCAGUGACCACCCACCUCGUGUUCUUCCCAACCAUGAUGUACAGUACCUUCGAACUGUGGCACAAAAUGGACUCUUCCUUCCUUAAGGAGAUCUGUCAUAGCAACAAGCAAAAGAACGAAUCCAGAGAGGUUCUGGAAAUUCCAGCAGUGGUGAUUGCCUGGAAGGCAGGAUGCUGGUCUCAUUUCCAUUGUCCCCUUCUCUCUGCUUCCUACCAAUCAUGAUCCAAAGAAACUUCUCUGUGCCACAUUCUUAGUGACUAUGGAUUUGGAGGAAGAACAUGUCAGAUAAUGACAUGAAUAUGAGAAAGGCUUGAAGGCCAGGAAUGGAUGUAUUUUGGUCAUCCCCAGUAGCCUGGAGGAGUUGUUAGGUGGGAGAGACAUCAAGAGAGGGAGACAGGGUACAUCAGGGUGCCUCGUGUCCCACAUAGGUUUGGGUCACUUCCCUUUUGAAAUGGGAAGCAGAAGCACAGGAGAACAAUAGAACUGAACUAAUACUUUAGAAACAGCAGCAGUGACUGGGGGUGAUGGGAGACACGACUGGGAGAUAGGGCUAUAAGAGAUGGAGCACACAUAAAGAACAUGAGAACUGUGGAGAGUGUAACCAGGAAGGAGGUUAAUGCUUGGGUGACUACACAACGGUAUGACCAAGAGGAAGAGAGAUAUGAGACAGGGAGGAGGCUUGGAGAAGGUCCUCAGAUCUGAACUUUGCUAGGCUGCAAGCAAGGUGCCUCAGACCCUCCAUGGGCCGGUGGAGACACACUGGGAGACGCAGAACUCAGGGUGGUCCUCUAUAUAAGAAAGCUAAGAGUAUGUAGACCCCAGAUACACCAAGAGUUUCACAGGCAGGGAGAAGGACUGAGAACGACACCAAGCCUUGUCCAGUGGGAAGAAAAGCAGGUCCUCUCAGAACCCAUAUUGCAGUUCUUACUACUUGACAGGCUGCUACCUGAGGAGACACUGCAGCCCCAAACAGUCCAAGUGCCUUACAGAGCCUGUCACAAUUCCUCUUCAUCAACGCCACAUUAGCAAGAGCUCUGGUUGUAGGGUUAGGAAGAUGAAUGAGUACUCAGUUCUCUCCUGAAAAUCAGGAGAACUCACUCCAGGCAUUGAGGCACAGCAGCUCAGCAGAUGGCCCUUUAUAAAUGAUUUCCUCCUAUUCCUGAGACCACAGGAUAAAAAGUCUGUAGAACUUUGCUUGGGUUUCCAUGCCACUGCUUACCUAUGCUCAGUAAUUUUCCACCCCAGGUCCCUCCUGGACAGGAUUAUCUCUUGCUGCCCUAGUAUUCCCACUUACUUCUCCUUGGGCAAGCUGCCCUAGUAUGCUGUUUACCCCCUUCUUGGCCCUGCUGUGUCUUACUGCAUAAGGAGGGGCAGAAUUUUCUCUGCUCUCUGAGUUAGGUUUGCUAUGGUUGGAUCUCCACCUCAUUUUUCUUCAAAAAUGUUCCUGGAUACAUAUGAGAGUGGCGGUUUGAAUGAGACAGCCCCGUAAACUCACACAUUUGAAUACUUGGUCUCCUGUUGGUGGAACUAUUUGGGAAGGAUUAGGAGGUGUGUCCCUGUGGGGAGGACUUGGAAGUUUCAAAAGACUGAAGCCAUUCCCAGUGUUCCCUCUCUGUCUCCUGCUUGCAGAUUAAGACAUGAGCUCCCAGAUAUUCCUGCCACCAUGGACACUAACCCUUUAAAACUGUAAGCCCAAUUAAAAUUUUUCUUUUAUAAUUUGCCUUUGCUGUAAUUGUUUUUGCAUCAAAAGAAAAGUAAUUACUAGCACCCAUCCCUAGCACCAACUUCUGUCUUGCUUAUGGUUUCUAUUGCUGUGAACAAACAGCAUGGCCAAGGCAUCUUACAGGAGGAAGAGAGCUUAUGUUGGCAGCAGACAUGCAGGCAUGGUGUUGGAGCACCAGUUGAGUGUUUACACCCUGAUUCACACCAACAGGGAGUGGAGAUCACACUGUGAAUGGCUCCAGACUUUAGAACCUCAAAGCCCACCCUCAGUGACACACCUCCCUCAGCAAAGCCAUGCCUUCCUAAUCCUCACCAAGCAGCUCCGCCAACAGCAAACUAAGUAUUUAAACAUAUGAGUCUAUGUUAGCCAUUUUCACUCAAAUUACCACAAUGGGAUUGGGAGACAGGGGUCUGAUACAGACCAGACUGAUUUUGGGUGCAUGUGCAGUAUGAUGAGCUGUGUCCUCUGAGUGAAUUUUUAGAGAGAAUAACCUAAUACCAUUUCGUGCCCGUGCAUAAAUGGGUAUGUGUAAUGUGUAUUCUUUCCCGCCAGCCUGGUCGCAGAACUGCGUCAGUCCCAAAUGAACAUACAGGACGCUAUAUUAAUUAUGAUGCUGUUG